This 686-nucleotide long non-coding RNA is filed under the name Daphnia magna. RNAcentral's name for it is "uncharacterized LOC123471020". The record is from RNAcentral. Lineage: Eukaryota; Metazoa; Arthropoda; Branchiopoda; Diplostraca; Daphniidae.
UCAAAGUGCCAGAAUGCAACAUUUACAUUAAUUCAAUUGAGAAAGAACUCAUUGAAAGAAGAAGAGCCGAGUGGUUGAAGUUGUCAAAAAGGAAUUAUAAUAUAUCCCAACUAUUUGUUUGCUCUGGUCAUUUUGUUUCAGGGAAACCUGCAUAUGUGUAUAAUGAAUUCUGAAUGUAAACAACAAUAACAUUUUGGUUGUACGUACCCUGCAAUACAAUCACAAAAAGCAACAAUCACUUUGCCAUCAUUUUGUAAAGCAGCCCAAGGUCUUGCUUUUGGCAAGUUUAAAGACUGAGAAUGGGUAACAUGAGUACGAAUCAACACAACCAAAUUAGAAAGAGUAAGUGCCAAUAACUUGUCAGUGAAAGUGUUUGACAAGUAUUGUUCAGAGUCUAAGUUUUUGUAAGCUUCACGUCGUCCCUCUUCAUCUUUGUUUUUCUCAAAAACCAAAUAAUGAACUAGGUGAUAUUUUUCAAUGGAAGGGAUAAUUGUUUUUAAAAUUUUUCCACACUUGAAAAGUGGAAGUGGUAUUGCCAAAGGAUCGUGACACUUUAGAUGUUCUAAUUGUUGGUAGUAAUAUUUCCGAUCUUCUUCUACCACGGACAAUGCAAAAGGGGACAAACGAUAUUUAAAAAUUUCUGUGGACAUGAAAAUUUCAUGGAAAUAAACACUUAAGAAAUCAAA